RNAcentral lists this long non-coding RNA (1452 nucleotides) under Anolis carolinensis (green anole). RNAcentral's name for it is "lncRNA (ENSACAG00000029606.2)". The record is from RNAcentral. Lineage: Eukaryota; Metazoa; Chordata; Lepidosauria; Squamata; Anolidae.
AUGGCCUUUCCCGACCUCGAAAGGGUUUGUUUUGCAGAGCCACAGCCCUCAAGGCAAACACCACGGUCCGCAUUCCUGGCCUUGAACCACCAGCGAGGGAGGGACGGACGCUGCCAAGGACGCAGUUCACGCUCCGGACAAGAAAAGAAAGAACGAGAAAGAGAGAAAGAAAGAGAGGAAGGGCCCACAUCCCUCCCCAAGCCUUUGUUGUUCUUCGGCCACAACAGGAUCUGCAGUUUCAGGGUGCUGCUCUUCCUUCUCGCUUUCUUAUUCCCACCCUCUCCCUCCCAAACAUCCUUCUUUCUUUCUCUCCAUCCUUCCAUCUAUCCGCCCAUUCAUCCUUCUCUUCCCUUCUUUCCAUUCUUCCUUCCUUCCAUCUAUCCAUCCUUUCAAUCCUCUUUCCUUCCUUCUUUCCAUCCAUCCAUUCUUUCCAUCCCUUUCCCUUCCUUCUUUUCAUCCAUCCCUCUCCUUUCUUUCCAUCCAUCAUUCAUUCCUUCCAUUCAUCUUCCCUUCCUUUUAUCCAUCCAUCCUUCCUUCCAGCCCUUGCCCUUCCAUUUGUCUUCCCUCCUUCCUUCUUUCCAUCUAUCCAUUCCUUCCUUCCUUCCCUCUUUCCUUCCUUACAUUCUUACUUUGUUCCAUCCAUUUUUCAUUCCUUCUUUCCAUUCUUCCUUCCUUCCAUCUAUCCAUCUUUUCAACCCUCUUUUCUUCCUUCUUUCCAUCCAUCCAUUCCUUCCCUCCCUUUCCUUCCUUCCCUCCUUCCUUCUUUCCAUCCAUCGUUCCUUCCUUCCAUUCCUUUUCCUUCCAUUCGUCUCCCUUUCCUUCCUUCUGUUCUUCCUUCUAUCCCUUUCCUUCCUUCCAUCUAUCCCUCUUUCCAUUAUUACUUCAAUCCAUCUUCCUUCCUUUCAUUCCUUCCCUUCGUCUUCCUUCCUUCCUUUCAUCCACCUAUCCUUUCUUUUCUCUCAUGUCUGUCCUUCCUUCCGUUCUCCUUCCUUCCAUCCCUCUUUCUUUCCUUCUAUUCUUACUUCAUUCCAUCCAUCUUUCAUUCCUUCCAUUCAUCCAUCCGUUUCCUUCCAUCUAGUCCUCUUUCCUUCUUUCCAUAAUUAUUUCAAUCCAUCCUUCCUUCCUUCCAUCCCUUCAUCUUCCAUCCAUCCUUCCUUCCUUCCAUCCCUUCAUCUUCCUUCCUUCCUUCCAUCCAUCCGUUUCCUUCCUUCCUUCCUUCCUUCCAUCCAUCCAUCCUUCUUUCCUCCUUCCUUCCCUUCGUCUUCCUUCCUUCCUUUCAUCCAUCCAUCCAUCCAUCCUUUCCUUUCUUUCAUGCCUGUCCUUCCAUCCCUUUCUUUCCUUCCUUCCAUCCUUCUUUCCAUCUGUCUUCCUUCCUUCCUUCCAUCCACCCAUCCUUCUUUCCUCCUUCCUUCCCUUCGUUUUACUUCCAUUUUUUUAUUAAUUUUAUUGUAA